RNAcentral lists this unclassified non-coding RNA (236 nucleotides) under Chaetomium sp. Its description in RNAcentral is "partial internal transcribed spacer region". The stretch from base 1 to 46 matches the Rfam family "Eukaryotic small subunit ribosomal RNA", at positions 1786 to 1831 of the family's 1831-position model. The record is from RNAcentral. Lineage: Eukaryota; Fungi; Ascomycota; Sordariomycetes; Sordariales; Chaetomiaceae.
AAGUCGUAACAAGGUCUCCGUUGGUGAACCAGCGGAGGGAUCAUUAAUGAGUUGCAAAACUCCAACCAUCGCGAAUGUAACCCAUUGCAGUUGCUUCGGCGGGUGGCCCUGAGAGGGGCCGCGCUCCCCCCACGGGGGGCAUGCCCGCCGGAGUCGUACAAACUCUUGUAUUUGUAGGCAUCUCUGAGUAACUUUACAAUAAGUUAAAACUUUCAACAACGGAUCUCUUGGUUCUG